This 129-nucleotide ribosomal RNA is filed under the name Calidris pygmaea (Spoon-billed sandpiper). The record is from RNAcentral. Lineage: Eukaryota; Metazoa; Chordata; Aves; Charadriiformes; Scolopacidae.
GCCUAUGGCCAAAACACUCUGAAAACAUUUGAUCUUGUCUAAUCUCUGAAGCAAUGAAGGGAUGGCCCCAGAUAGUAUGUGAAUGGCGGACUAGGGAAUUCUGCUUGGGAAUGUCAGGUGCUCUAUGUG